RNAcentral lists this ribosomal RNA (348 nucleotides) under uncultured bacterium. RNAcentral describes it as "bacterial SSU rRNA". It matches the Rfam family "Bacterial small subunit ribosomal RNA", at positions 30 to 377 of the family's 1533-position model. The record is from RNAcentral.
AUUGAACGCUGGCGGCAUGCCUUACACAUGCAAGUCGAACGGCAGCACGGGAGCAAUCCUGGUGGCGAGUGGCGAACGGGUGAGUAAUAUAUCGGAACGUGCCCGGUCGUGGGGGAUAACGUAGCGAAAGCUACGCUAAUACCGCAUACGAUCUAUGGAUGAAAGCGGGGGAUCGCAAGACCUCGCGCGAUUGGAGCGGCCGAUAUCAGAUUAGGUAGUUGGUGGGGGUAAAGGGCUCACCAAGCCAACGAUCUGUAGCUGGUCUGAGAGGACGACCAGCCACACUGGAACUGAGACACGGUCCAGACUCUACGGGAGGCAGCAGUGGGGAAUUUUGGACAAUGGACG